Molecule: ribosomal RNA, 169 nt
Filed under: Bryoria sp. Hur CH050187
Lineage: Eukaryota; Fungi; Ascomycota; Lecanoromycetes; Lecanorales; Parmeliaceae
Description: partial 28S ribosomal RNA
Rfam family: Eukaryotic large subunit ribosomal RNA
Source: RNAcentral
UGACCUCGGAUCAGGUAGGGAUACCCGCUGAACUUAAGCAUAUCAAUAAGCGGAGGAAAAGAAACCAACAGGGAUUGCCUCAGUAACGGCGAGUGAAGCGGCCUUAAGGUGGUCCCCUUUUUCCUUGCCGCAUAUAGACAAAAUGCCGGUUGGGGAAUGGCCUUUGUCA